CCCUUAGAUGUUCUGGGCCGCACGCGUGCUACACUGAGUGGAUCAGCGGGUCAGGUUGCGCGAAAGUGUUUCCUAAUCUUUAAAUCCGCUCGUGAUGGGGAUUGACGGUUGCAAUUUUCCGUCAUGAACGAGGAAUACCUUGUAAGCGCGGGUCAUCAUCCCGCGCUGAAUACGUCCCUGCCCUUUGUACACACCGCCCGUCGCUCCUACCGAUUGAGUGGUCCGGUGAGGCUUUGGGAUCUGGGCGGAAAGAGCGUUUCGCUGUUUCUGCCCGGAAAACUCAGUCGAACCUUAUCAUUUAGAGGAAGGAGAAGUCGUGACA
RNAcentral lists this ribosomal RNA (322 nucleotides) under uncultured eukaryote. RNAcentral's name for it is "partial 18S ribosomal RNA". It matches the Rfam family "Eukaryotic small subunit ribosomal RNA", at positions 1470 to 1796 of the family's 1831-position model. The record is from RNAcentral.